CCUUAAUUUCCGGUAGAUUGCAAAUAACCUGCUUUCUUUCUGUUCCCGAGCUGCGUUCGGACCCGUCGGAUCGUAAAUCCCACAUAAGGUACCUGCCGUCAGAAGAUUUGAACUCUCUACUUGGACACCUAAUACCCACAGUCCUCCAGCUCCGGUAGAUUGCAAAUAACCUGCUUUCUUUCUGUUCCCGAGCUGCGUUCGGACCCGUCGGAUCGUAAAUCCCAUGUAAGGUACCUGCCGUCGGAAGAUUUGAUCUUUCUACUUGGACACCUAAUACCCACAGUCCUCCAGCUCCGGUAGAUUGCAAAUAACCUGCUUUCUUUCUGUUCCUGAGCUGCGUUCGGACCCCUGUCGUAUUGUAAAUCCCACGCAAGGUACCUGCCGUCGGAAGAUUUGAGCUUUCUUCUUGAACACCUCAUACCCACAGUCCUCCAGACAGAAGGACAACAGGUACAAAGUCCUAAGGAUUAUAAAGGUAUGCUGCUUGCCAUCAUCUUAGUGACCAAGGCAGCGAAGCUGUUUCUGUACCUUGGAACAGUCUUCCCUGACAAGCCAGAGAACAGCGAUAAAGCCACCAGCCUUGGGAUCAGGACUGAAAAGGCAAGAGUGAUGGAGAUUUCUCCUGCGCUAAGCCAAGAGAAGGUUUCAGCACCUCAGACAGCUCCCACCGAAGUAGCGGCGCUCCCAGCUGCUUGCAGAUGUGGAAAAGGAAAGCCUCGGUUUGUCUUGAGGUUGUCAGCAGUUGCAAGACACGUAAUAAAAUGCAAUGUGUUCCUAAUUCAUUGCAUAUCCUCAGCUUUAAAUUUGGGUAGCAAAAUGAUUACUCUAGAUUCUUCAGCCUUGCCUUGGCAAGUAUCUGUACCUAAAAAGCAGUUUUUCUACCUAAUCUCUUUUUUUGUUUUUGUUUUUCAAUACACUUUAAGCAAAUUGAAGCUUUUGUUCCUGGAGGAAAAGUGGUUUGAUAUGUUCAUCUAUCUUUUAGUAAAUUUGGGGGCAUAACUUUUCCUAUUCUGAGGAACUUUUCUAAGAAGAGUGCAUAAAAGUUUGUUGUUGUUUUUAAAGGAUGCAACAUUCA
RNAcentral lists this long non-coding RNA (1075 nucleotides) under Homo sapiens (human). RNAcentral describes it as "novel transcript". The record is from RNAcentral. Lineage: Eukaryota; Metazoa; Chordata; Mammalia; Primates; Hominidae.